ACCAGAGCCUCAGAGAGGUUUACAAACCACAGUCAAAUUGAAAUUAGUUAAAACACCUGUUUUACAAAUUACUUAGGUUUGUGCUCUCAUCUGAGAAGUCUGGAUGUAUUCUUUCUUCAAGUAGGGGAGGCAGCUAUGACGUUUGGGUCAUAGGUACUAUUUCUUAUUAUAGCCUGUCUCUUCUUGCUGUAGGCGCUCUUGGCUCCAGCCCCACCAGAGGCUGAUGAGGGCACAGCUCCUGUGCUCAGCCAUACCAUUGUGAAUUCAAAGCUGCGGUUGGGAUUUAAUGUUCCUUUCCUAUAUUGACAUUUCAUGUAGGAGCCUUUUCUGAGAAUUGCUCCUGAGUGGGACCAUUUGCCCUGCAGAUUUCCUCUCUCUACCUCCUAUACCUUAAUGAUGGAACAAAGGCCCUGUCUUAUAUACAGGCCCCCCAGAUUUUCAGCAGCACACUCCUGGACCUGUUCCUACCAACUUCUCGCAAGCCCCCAGGCUGCCCAUCCAGGACCAGUGGAGAGGCCCACCACCCCCCCCGCCGCCGCUCCCUCCUCCCCCUCCUCAGGAAAGAGACCCUUUCUUCAUAGGAGAUCCCCGAUUUCCCAGCCAUCACCUGUUCGAGCAGCGGAGCCCCCCGCCGCCGCCGCCUCCGCCUCCCCUCAACAGCGCUCAUCCCGUCCCUACCCAAAACCCGAUGCCUUUCAGUCAGCCUGGGCCGGCUUUUAACCAGCAAGGGCAACAACCCGUCUUCCCCAGGGAGAGGCCGGUGCGGCCCAACCUUCAGCCUCAAGGGCCGGUGGGAAUUCUGCACUUCAACCAGCCGGGCGCCGCCAAUCCGCGACCCUUCAUCCCGCCGCGCCAGCAGUUCCUGCAGGCUCCGGGACAGCCCUUCCUGGCCGCGCACACGCAGCCCA
This 908-nucleotide long non-coding RNA is filed under the name Struthio camelus australis. RNAcentral describes it as "lncRNA (ENSSCUG00000017730.1)". Lineage: Eukaryota; Metazoa; Chordata; Aves; Struthioniformes; Struthionidae. The record is from RNAcentral.